CUACGGGGCGCUCCAGUGGGGAAUAUUGCACAAUGGAGGAAACUCUGAUGCAGCAACGCCGCGUGGAGGAUGACACUUUUCGGAGCGUAAACUCCUUUUAUAUAGGAAGAAGAUGACGGUACUAUAUGAAUAAGCGCCGGCUAACUCCGUGCCAGCAGCCGCGGUAUACGGAGGGCGCAAGCGUUACUCGGAAUCACUGGGCGUAAAGAGCGUGUAGGCGGAUUAAAAAGUCAGAAGUGAAAUCCUAUAGCUUAACUAUAGAACUGCUUCUGAAACUCUUAAUCUAGAAUAUGGGAGAGGUAGAUGGAAUUUCUGGUGUAGGGGUAACAUCCGUAGAGAUCAGAAGGAAUACCGAUUGCGAAGGCGAUCUACUAGAACAUUAUUGACGCUGAGACGCGAAAGCGUGGGGAGCAAACAGGAUUAGAUACCCCGGUAGUC
RNAcentral lists this ribosomal RNA (438 nucleotides) under uncultured bacterium. RNAcentral's name for it is "partial 16S ribosomal RNA". It matches the Rfam family "Bacterial small subunit ribosomal RNA", at positions 339 to 795 of the family's 1533-position model. The record is from RNAcentral.